Molecule: non-coding RNA, 72 nt
Organism: Tothia fuscella
Lineage: Eukaryota; Fungi; Ascomycota; Dothideomycetes; Venturiales; Cylindrosympodiaceae
Source: the annotation of a GenBank genome assembly
GGCGGCGUGGCCUAAUGGUAAGGCGUUGCUUUCCGGUGGCAAAGAUUGUGGGUUCGAGUCCCAUCGCCGUCG